AGUCGAGGGGUAUAGUAGCAAUACUAGAGACCGGCGCACGGGUGCGUAACGCGUAUGCAAUCUACCUUUCACAGAGGGAUAGCCCAGAGAAAUUUGGAUUAAUACCUCAUAGUAUAAUGAGUUGGCAUCAACCCAUUAUUAAAGUCACAACGGUGAAAGAUGAGCAUGCGUCCCAUUAGCUAGUUGGUAAGGUAACGGCUUACCAAGGCGACGAUGGGUAGGGGUCCUGAGAGGGAGAUCCCCCACACUGGUACUGAGACACGGACCAGACUCCUACGGGAGGCAGCAGUGAGGAAUAUUGGUCAAUGGGCGCAAGCCUGAACCAGCCAUGCCGCGUGCAGGAUGACGGUCCUAUGGAUUGUAAACUGCUUUUGUACAGGAAGAAACAACUCUACGUGUAGAGUCUUGACGGUACUGUAAGAAUAAGGAUCGGCUAACUCCGUGCCAGCAGCCGCGGUAAUACGGAGGAUCCAAGCGUUAUCCGGAAUCAUUGGGUUUAAAGGGUCCGUAGGCGGUUUAGUAAGUCAGUGGUGAAAGCCCAUCGCUCAACGGUGGAACGGCCAUUGAUACUGCUAGACUUGAAUUAUUAGGAAGUAACUAGAAUAUGUAGUGUAGCGGUGAAAUGCUUAGAGAUUACAUGGAAUACCAAUUGCGAAGGCA
This 660-nucleotide ribosomal RNA is filed under the name uncultured Bacteroidota bacterium. RNAcentral describes it as "bacterial SSU rRNA". It matches the Rfam family "Bacterial small subunit ribosomal RNA", at positions 60 to 723 of the family's 1533-position model. Lineage: Bacteria; Pseudomonadati; Bacteroidota. The record is from RNAcentral.